Unclassified non-coding RNA from Myotis lucifugus (little brown bat), 322 nucleotides. Its record names the gene 7SK. It matches the Rfam family "7SK RNA". Rfam says of the family: 7SK was discovered as an abundant small nuclear RNA in the mid-70s but a possible function has only recently been suggested. Lineage: Eukaryota; Metazoa; Chordata; Mammalia; Chiroptera; Vespertilionidae. The record is from Ensembl.
GGAUGUGAGGGCGAUCUGGCUGUGACAUCUGUCACCCCAUUGAUUGCCAGGGUUGAUUCGGCUGACCUGGCUGGCUAGGCGGGUGUCCCCUCCUCCCUCACCGAUCCCAUAUGCGUCCCUCCCGAAGCUGCGUGCUCGGUCAAAGAGGGCGACCUUCCCCCCAGAGGAGAGAACCGGUCUUCGGUCAGGGGUAUACGAGUAGCUGCACUCCCCUGGUAGAACCUCCAAACAAGCUGUCAAAGGUGUAGAAUGAGACCAAAAGAAGUCAGGCCCAGUGGGAAGGACUUAAGAGAUAAGACUAUGUGGGGACAUUCCUGAGAUC